GCGUCUGCGUCUCUCCUCCUCCUCCUUCAGGGCUCUCUGGGUCUCCGAGCGAAGGUGCUCGUCUACGAUGAUCCUGCGGAUCUUCUUGCGGCCCUUAGGUGUACCUUUGUUGUCCCCUUCCUCGCCGUCCUUCUCUUCAUCGUCACUCUGUUUAGAUAGAUAGAUCAAUUGCCAGGACAAUAAGCAUCAGCUCCAUGGCUGUUCUAAAUUCAUGACCAAGUCUCUGGAGGAGCGACAGAAAUAUGUUUAGAAAAUAAGCUUUGCUAUGGGUGCUUGAAAUCUGGUCACA
This is a long non-coding RNA of Salmo salar (Atlantic salmon), 289 nucleotides long. RefSeq lists it as uncharacterized. The record is from RefSeq and is a predicted model, not a curated record. NCBI's taxonomy places the organism in Eukaryota, Metazoa, Chordata, Actinopteri, Salmoniformes, Salmonidae.